GUUGCAAUAACCAAUAAUCCCUAUCAGGGAUUGAAAC
Planktothrix serta PCC 8927 is the source of this 37-nucleotide non-coding RNA. Lineage: Bacteria; Bacillati; Cyanobacteriota; Cyanophyceae; Oscillatoriales; Microcoleaceae. The record is from Rfam.